CCCCCCCUCCCCCGCUCCCUCCGCUCCGUGCUCGGCUCGUCGGCGCCUGCGAACCGAGGACAACGGACCCACUCCCUCACGGUGGACCCGCCAUGUUCCUGCCAGUGAGUGAGGAGGACGGGGCGGCAGCAGCAGCCAGUGGGCGUCUUUUUGACACUUCCAACAUAUAGCUCUGCACUGCUGCCCUUGUGGCUAUUCAUAACUGCUCUUGAGAGUGGAUGAACAAGCCUCAAAUGGAACCUGAGAAGAAAAAAAAAGGGGAGGAGAGGAGGAGGGAGAAAAUCAAUUUUCCCAGACAGAGCCAGGCUGGUCUAAUGGAUGUCUAAAAAGAGGAGGAGGAGGAGGAGAGGACAUAUUUUCCUCUGAUUACCUCCUGUAGCCUGCCUGGCAAACCUUCAAAGCUAGCAUCACUACGACGGCCUCGCUCAUCUGACCUUUUCGGAGAAGGUAUGGAGCUUUCACUCGGCCGCAAUCAUGCUUUGAGCUGGACACACACAAAAAAAAGAAAAAGAAAAAAAAGAGACUGCUAAAUGACUGAUUGCAAGGAAAUUGCGAGCAAACAAAGUGACCUGAUAGACUUUGGACUUAAAGUGAAACUUGUCAUCUUAAGUAGAAAUGCUCAUUUUAUUCCCCCCCCCCCCUCUUUACUUUGAAUUCCCCACAAUGGCAGCACAUUUUAAAGGCACAUCUAAGCUAAUUUCUUCUUUUUCAAUCUCCAUCCCUGGGUAUUAUAGAAGUUAUGUAACCCGCUGUUACAGCUCUGCAGAGAGAAAAUGAGCUGGAUUAAAUGGAUAAAGGUUU
Molecule: long non-coding RNA, 801 nt
Organism: Scophthalmus maximus (turbot)
Lineage: Eukaryota; Metazoa; Chordata; Actinopteri; Pleuronectiformes; Scophthalmidae
Exons: 3
Source: RefSeq, a predicted model, not a curated record